AGCAAAUCAGGUUCAUUUUUUCCAGGGCAGAAAUAUUGGUAGCCAUAAUCCGUAAGGGAGCAAUAAGGACUGCUAGAUAUCUAACGUCUUCAAGGGAUAUCAAAGUGGGACAAAAUCUCAAUUAUCUUGGAGAGUAUAAAAAUCCUUCAUCAUUAGCUUUGUGUCCAGCAACUAAGAACUGCAUAUCAACAUAUAAGAAUAUCACUCAUGCCAUUCAUUAUGCUUCUCCUUGGCUCAUCUUCAUGAGUGGAAAGCUGUAUGGAAUGCAAAGAUAAUAUCUUGAUCCCAUCGUUAUUAGAAGUACCAAAAUGAAAUUGAGGACUAACAAGUAGAUUAUGGAUUGUUACUAUUCCGUAAUGAAAUUUUCUGCUAACAAUUACGUCUUGGUGAUUCUAUUUUUUGAAAAGCUUUCAAGCUUAAUGGGUCAUCAAAAUUUCUCUGUUUAGUGUUUGUACACUCUUCAUUUUAAGAGUAUUACUAAGUUACUUAAAGAUCAGAUUAGGAAUUUGGUCCCUCAAAAAUACACUUGACAUGAGCUUUAAAAGAUUUGUGGUAUUUUCACUCUCAAUUGACAAUUUUAAAGUCUUCUUUAGAUUAAUAUUUUGGAUUUUCUUCUUCUUA
Long non-coding RNA from Arachis duranensis, 621 nucleotides. RefSeq lists it as uncharacterized. NCBI's taxonomy places the organism in Eukaryota, Viridiplantae, Streptophyta, Magnoliopsida, Fabales, Fabaceae. The record is from RefSeq and is a predicted model, not a curated record. The transcript has 3 exons.